UGGGGAAUUUUGGACAAUGGGCGAAAGCCUGAUCCAGCAAUGCCGCGUGUGUGAAGAAGGCCUUCGGGUUGUAAAGCACUUUUGUCCGGAAAGAAACCCUUGGCUCUAAUACAGUCGGGGGAUGACGGUACCGGAAGAAUAAGCACCGGCUAACUACGUGCCAGCAGCCGCGGUAAUACGUAGGGUGCAAGCGUUAAUCGGAAUUACUGGGCGUAAAGCGUGCGCAGGCGGUUUGCUAAGACCGAUGUGAAAUCCCCGGGCUCAACCUGGGAACUGCAUUGGUGACUGGCAGGCUAGAGUAUGGCAGAGGGGGGUAGAAUUCCACGUGUAGCAGUGAAAUGCGUAGAGAUGUGGAGGAAUACCGAUGGCGAAGGCAGCCCCCUGGGCCAAUACUGACGCUCAUGCACGAAAAGCGUGGGGAGCAAAACAGGAUUAGAUACCCUGGUAGUCCACGCCCUAAAACGAUGUCAACUAGUUGUUGGGGAUUCAUUUCCUUAGUAACGUAGCUAACGCGUGAAGUUGACCGCCUGGGGAGUACGGUCGCAAGAUUAAAACUCAAAGGAAUUGACGGGGUCAUAGCUGUUUCCU
RNAcentral lists this ribosomal RNA (588 nucleotides) under uncultured bacterium. RNAcentral's name for it is "partial 16S ribosomal RNA". It matches the Rfam family "Bacterial small subunit ribosomal RNA", at positions 355 to 1375 of the family's 1533-position model. The record is from RNAcentral.